This 24-nucleotide non-coding RNA is filed under the name Arabidopsis thaliana (thale cress). Lineage: Eukaryota; Viridiplantae; Streptophyta; Magnoliopsida; Brassicales; Brassicaceae. The record is from RNAcentral.
UGGAUUUAUACGUUAACGUGAUCA